GAACGACUUUACUCCGAACUUCUUUCGAACUUCUAUAGUAACUAGACUCCAUCCAAGUUUCUAUGAUGGUCGACCGCCUUUUGGAUUUCAUCCGAACUCCUACAAGGGUCGGGCUCCGUCCGAACUUCUACAACGGAUGGAUUUCAGAUGAAUUCCUACAAAAGCCGGAUCUCUACCCCGAACUUCUAUUGUAGGUGGACUUCAUCCGAACUCCUACAA
Molecule: long non-coding RNA, 219 nt
Filed under: Elaeis guineensis (African oil palm)
Lineage: Eukaryota; Viridiplantae; Streptophyta; Magnoliopsida; Arecales; Arecaceae
Description: long non-coding RNA (EGUI_LNC062210)
Source: RNAcentral